This is a long non-coding RNA of Talpa occidentalis (Iberian mole), 609 nucleotides long. RefSeq lists it as uncharacterized. The transcript is spliced from 5 exons. NCBI's taxonomy places the organism in Eukaryota, Metazoa, Chordata, Mammalia, Eulipotyphla, Talpidae. The record is from RefSeq and is a predicted model, not a curated record.
GCUGUCAUUUUAUUGGGGAUUGCCAUAUGAAGUGAUCCGGUCUUGAUGCCUGUCUCCUUUUUUUCAUGUGAACCACCAGGGAAUCUGCUUCUCCAUUGCUGAGCAGGGUACCCUAUCCAAGCAGAGGAAGAUGUGUCUGAUAUUUUCAUAAAGAAGAGCCAUGUUCUAUGGAGCAUUCCGUAUGCCCCCUCUUGAGGGAAUGAUUAUAGGGAAGUCUUAGCAUUGCUGUUCUUGUCCCUCAGAACAUGCAGAGAAACCCAAGAAGACAUGGUAUCUUCCCCAUUUGACAGAUGAGGAACUAGAGGUUCUGAAAAGGCUGCCCUGCUGCUACAGAAAGACUCUACACCUGGUCUCCGGAGAACUCUUGAAACCAGUCAAACCUAAACAGACCUACAUAGGAGUUGGAGUUAAAAUUUAACAAAAUAAAUACUAAGCAUUACCACAGGUGGCAGUCAAGCUAUCAGCGGGGGCCGUAUGCAUCUCAAGACUUGACUGAAGAACCUGCUUCCAAACUCCCUUGCAUAGUUACUGACAGGCCUCAGAUGAUCUGCUUCCAAGCUUACUCAUACCUCUUCUUCACCAGUCUACCUACAACAUGGCAGAUGAUUC